This 464-nucleotide long non-coding RNA is filed under the name Salvia miltiorrhiza (redroot sage). Its description in RNAcentral is "long non-coding RNA (SMIL_LNC006460)". The record is from RNAcentral. Lineage: Eukaryota; Viridiplantae; Streptophyta; Magnoliopsida; Lamiales; Lamiaceae.
UGAGUUCAAUGAGAAGAUAGCUGAAAACAGUAUUUUGUUUGCUUAACAAUGCAGGAGGAACUUAGGAGGAACUUAGGAAGAAACUGGAGAGGAUAGGUCAAUCUUACCUCUCGAAUCUUGCAGCAACUAUGACAACUUCCUCAAGUUGUUGAUGCGUAAAGAGAGAAGGAUUUGGUGGGUGAUAUUAUAAGGAGUGAAGUUGGUGGCUGUUACUCUCAUGGGUUUGAAAGAUGGUGCAGGCAGCAUAGGGUAUGGUGGAAUGACCACCUACUUGUACUAUGGUAUGGUCUUGGUUACAGGUGAAGGAAAGAAAAAAAGAGCUGCUACUUGCUUUUGUAUUAUGCAGAUUUUUCUUUUGAUUUUGUGUACAUACAUCAGUAUGGCUUAGCUGCAAAAGUGGCGCUGUAGAGGGAGGAAAGCAUGGCUUUUGGUGGCUACAAAAUCUUCUAUCUUGAUUGUGUAUA